RNAcentral lists this unclassified non-coding RNA (1299 nucleotides) under Zea mays. RNAcentral describes it as "misc RNA Zm00001eb092560". Lineage: Eukaryota; Viridiplantae; Streptophyta; Magnoliopsida; Poales; Poaceae. The record is from RNAcentral.
UGCCCUCCCUCCUCCGACGCCGGAGGCCAUCAGAAACGCGCGUGCGCGCCCGCGCAACCACCACCACAACCCCUUUCCUAUCCACGUUCUCCGGCCUCGCUCCUACUGUCUCCCGGUCGGCCGCCCACCGGCCAUCGUUCGUCUCAUCCCAUGGGUGUUGGGGCGAUGGAAGCCUCUUCUCCGGCCGGCGACGACGUCGGCGGCACGGGCAUCGAGGACCUCCCGGCGGACGUCCUCGCCCUCGUGCUCCGCCGCCUGGAUGGCGCGUCGCUGGCGGCGGUCGGCUGCGCGAGCUCCGGCCUCCGCAGCCUCGCCACCGACCCGGCCACGUGGCGGGCGCUCUGCUUCGCCAUGUGGCCCUCCGUCCGCGACCUGCCCUGCACAGGCCGCGUCGACGGCGGUCACCGGGCGCUCUUCGCCGACGCCUUCCCCUUCCCGUGCUCGGUCUCCCCUCCCACGCCGCCGCAGCCCCUGCCCGCGCGCCUCGUGUCGGCCGUCGACCUGCGCCACGCGGGGGUCUGCGUCCUGUCGCGCGUCGUGGAGACGGACGCCGCCUCCGACUGGUUCCUGGGCGCGCCGUUCCGCGUCGACGCGCUGCUGCAGGAGGGCUUCACGUCGCCGGCCGCCGCGGCGAUCGCGCCGGCCGACCUCGAGCUCAGCUGGGUCCUCUUCGACCCGGCCACCGGCCGCGCGCUCAACGCGUCCAGCCGCCGCGCCGUGGCCGUCGACCGCAAGUGGCUCACGGGGGACACCGUGGCGCGCUUCGCCGUCGUGCUCGGCGGCGGCGUCGCGCUCGACGCCGCCGUCACGUGCGACGAGCGCCGCGGCCACGUCCGGGAGGUCAGCCUGCGCGUCGAGGACGCCGACGGCGCCGGCGUCAGCGGCAGGGACGGGCUGGCCGCCGUCGCCGCCGCCAUGGCCGCGCCCAGGCGGGGGUGCCGCGGCGCGGCGGAGGACGUGGCCAGGCUCAGGUACGAGGAGUUCGUCAGGGGGAAAAGGGCGCGCAAGGAGUCGAAGGCCAGGCGCGAGGGCAUCCUUGAUCUCUGCUGCUCUGGCGUCGGCGCCGCCGCCUUCCUCGGCUUCCUGGUCAUGCUCACGUUCCGGUGAACUCGUCCGAUUCGGCCCGCCCGGGCAUUCGGGCAUCGCGAACACCACAACCACUAGAGAGUGCCGUUGACAUGUACAGUGUAGUUCAGGGAAUGUGAAUAUGAUUGGGUUGUAGGUUAUACGGUCGCCUGUCAAACAACAGGGAAAGUCAGCAUCAUAUCUCUCUUUUUUUCUCCUUUUCCAGAAAGCGAA